AUUGAACGCUGGCGGCAGGCCUAACACAUGCAAGUCGAGCGGAGCGGCGGACGGGGAAGUAAUGCCUAGGAAUCUGCCUGUUAGUGGGGUAUAACUUCGGGAAGGAGACCCUUAUACCGCAUGCUAUCAGAUCAGCCUAGGUCGUCUUAGCUAGUUGGUGGGGUAAAGGCCUACCAAGGCGACGAUCCGUAACUGGUCUGAGAGGAUGAUCAGUCACACUGGAACUGAGACACGGUCCAGACUCCUACGGGAGGCAGCAGUGGGGAAUAUUGGACAAUGGGCGAAAGCCUGAUCCAGCCAUGCCGCGUGUGUGAAGAAGGUCUUCGGAUCGUAAAGCACUUUAAGUUGGGAGGCGUUACCAACAGAAUAAGCACCGGCUAACUUCGUGCCAGCAGCCGCGGUAAUAC
This 407-nucleotide ribosomal RNA is filed under the name uncultured bacterium. RNAcentral describes it as "partial 16S ribosomal RNA". It matches the Rfam family "Bacterial small subunit ribosomal RNA", at positions 30 to 526 of the family's 1533-position model. The record is from RNAcentral.